CUUUAUCAUGUAAACUAGUUCCAUGAAUUAUUCCCAAUCUUCUUCUUUAACGAGAUUCAUUGUUGUUACAAGUUCCUUAAUACUCUGUUCUUCAUUUGUUCAUUUCUGUCUUCUGUCAUCUAACCUGUAUUGAGAAUGUUCUGUAAUAUGGGUUUCUUCGAUUUCAAGUAGCUUUACUCUUCGUCUCUAUUCCCAUAAUUGGGUUUUAAUCUCAUCUUCUUCUCGUUCUCGGAGAGUGUUUUAACAAAAAAAAAAAACAGAGGAACUUAAAAACAGAGCAAGUUCACACAGAGAGAAGAUAGCCACCAUGGAAGAGACUUUCGUUCCGUUUGAAGGUAUCAAGAAUGAUCUUAAAGGAAGACUAAGAUGCUACAAAAAAGACUGGACCGGAGGAUUCAAAGCUGGCUUCAGGUAACAAAGUUACUCUGUUUUUUUAUGAAGCAACUUUAAUACAGAGUACUCUGUUUUCAUGAUUCAAACUUCUCUGUUUUUUUUUUUUAUGAAACUUUGUAGGAUUCUUGCUCCCACCACAUACAUAUUCUUCGCGUCGGCGAUUCCUGUCAUCUCAUUCGGCGAACAACUUGAGAGAAGCACUGGUACAGAACCACCUUCCUCUGUUUUUUAAAAAGUUGUGAGCUUUAUGAACUUUAUUUGCGUGUGUUUGCAGAUGGAGUUCUCACAGCUGUUCAGACGCUGGCAUCUACAGCCAUUUGCGGAAUCAUUCACUCUAUUAUCGGAGGCCAGCCUCUGCUGAUACUCGGAGUCGCAGAGCCAACUGUGAUCAUGUACACAUUCAUGUUCAACUUUGCCAAAGGGAGACCUGAACUGGGACGCAACUUGUUCUUGGCUUGGUCUGGAUGGUAAAAACUCUCUCUCUUCUACUUUCAUUGUUAAAUGUUUUAAAGUAUCAACAAGGUGUUAAGGUAGUUAAACUAUGUGCAGGGUUUGUGUGUGGACCUCGUUGAUUCUGUUUGUGCUGGCUAUAUGUGGAGCUUGUUCAAUCAUCAACAGAUUCACAAGAGUAGCUGGAGAGUUGUUUGGACUUCUUAUAGCUAUGCUCUUCAUGCAAGAAGCCAUCAAAGUAACAAAGCCAACAACUUUGUGUUUUUUUUUUUGUUGUCUCUAAUGUUUUUAAUUAUAUAUAUUCAGGGACUAGUUGAUGAGUUUCGAUCUCCUGAGAGGGAAGAUCUGAAGCUUCUUGAGUUCUUACCUUCAUGGAGAUUUGCUAAUGGGAUGUUUGCUUUGGUUCUCUCCUUUGGUCUUCUUAUAACUGCACUAAGAAGCAGAAAAGCUAGAUCCUGGAGAUAUGGAACAGGUAUUGAAGUAUAUAGAUAGUCAACUCUCUUUUUUUUUUAUAUAAUGAGCUGGAAUCUCCUUAUUCUAGGGAUCUUGACCAAUCAUAAUCAAAUUUUACUUGCUCUUGAAGAAACUUAGUUUUUUUUUUAACACCAAAGACGUACAUCGCAAUUUGCUCAGCUGAAACAACUUUGCCACUUUCUUGCCAUCCACACAAUACACUCACCCUUUUCCACCAUUAUUGCUUCCCCUUUACUUCCCCUCAAAAACACUUUAUCAUGUAAACUAGUUCCAUGAAUCAUUCCCAAUCUUCUUCUUCAACGAGAUUCAUUGUUGUUACAAGUCGCUUAAUACUCUGUUCUUCAUUUGUUCAUUUCUGUCUUCUGUCAUCUAACCUGUAUUGAGAAUGUUCUGUAAUAUGGGUUUCUUCGAUUUCAAAUAGCUUCACUCUUCGUCUCUAUUCCCGUAAUUGGGUUUUAAUCUCAUCUUCUUCUCGUUCUCGGAGAGUGUUUUAACAAAA
RNAcentral lists this long non-coding RNA (1816 nucleotides) under Brassica napus (rape). RNAcentral describes it as "long non-coding RNA (BNAP_LNC003247)". The record is from RNAcentral. Lineage: Eukaryota; Viridiplantae; Streptophyta; Magnoliopsida; Brassicales; Brassicaceae.